This 477-nucleotide long non-coding RNA is filed under the name Brassica rapa (field mustard). RNAcentral describes it as "long non-coding RNA (BRAP_LNC000258)". Lineage: Eukaryota; Viridiplantae; Streptophyta; Magnoliopsida; Brassicales; Brassicaceae. The record is from RNAcentral.
AAGAAGAUGAACUGGAACUUCAGUGUCGAUCAUGCAACACAACAUCAACAUAGGGUGGAUGGAAAAAUCCAAAUGCCUUAAACGGUUCUUAAGAUUUUUCGAGUUGCAAUUGUACUUUUGUCAACAAUACACUACGACAUCUGUUACAUGAAUGUGAGUUUUUUCUCUUUAAAAUAAUAAUAUUGUGUAAUAUUGUUGAUGACAUGGAAUCUUGGACUCAGUAUAGAGUUCUCAAGACACAUGAUCACCAUGGUUCUCUUCCAGAGGAGCUUGUUGGUUUUCCUUUGCUCCAAGAGCUAUAAUUAAAUCAAAUCACAAAUAUAAUUUUAUACCAUUUCCAAAGUAAUUCAAAAUUGUACUCCUAAUUUUCAGUAAUCUAGCCAGAAACUUCUUAUAUGGGUGAAUACCGGUAGAACUGGGAGUCUUACUUCUCUCCAAAUGUAAGUAAACAAGUCAUUUAAAAAAAUUAAGUAAAAA